GAAGGUGAAGAGGCCCUCGCCUGUUUCGCACAUCCUGAAAGGAGCAGACGCAAGAUGUGGACACUCCGCUAGCUAGGGAGGAGCAUCAUGGGAAAGCAAGAGAUGCCGAUGGUGCUGUUAAACGCCACUGCAUCCCUUCCCCUGUAACUGUGCCACAAGAAUUGAAUUCCGGACGUGAAUUUAGCCAACCUGCCGGCCUCGAUGGAAAACCACGUCUGUCCCUGGCCAUAACGACGGAGGCCCGUUAGAGGCCAAGACACUAUCUUGAGGGCACUGAGCAAACGGGUAACGCUGUGCUCAACUGCAAGAGACGAGCAAGCCAAGGGACGAGCUAAGCAGAGACCUUCCGCGUAUACUCUUGUGUCAGGAAGAAGCAAAGCAAGAAGCAGGUGUUACAGGUAUAAAAUCAGGAACCCUUUCAACAUGCUUCACAUUAUUCAGCU
Molecule: non-coding RNA, 443 nt
Organism: Paramormyrops kingsleyae
Lineage: Eukaryota; Metazoa; Chordata; Actinopteri; Osteoglossiformes; Mormyridae
Source: RefSeq, a predicted model, not a curated record